This 21-nucleotide microRNA is filed under the name Ananas comosus (pineapple). RNAcentral's name for it is "microRNA s0293_c100". Lineage: Eukaryota; Viridiplantae; Streptophyta; Magnoliopsida; Poales; Bromeliaceae. The record is from RNAcentral.
CUGGCGUUGUUCUCAUGCAGG